This 95-nucleotide ribosomal RNA is filed under the name Vibrio europaeus. The record is from RNAcentral. Lineage: Bacteria; Pseudomonadati; Pseudomonadota; Gammaproteobacteria; Vibrionales; Vibrionaceae.
CUUGGCGACCAUAGCGAUUUGGACCCACCUGAUUCCAUGCCGAACUCAGAAGUGAAACGAAUUAGCGCCGAUGGUAGUGUGGGGCUUCCCCAUGU